AUCUGCUUCUUUAAAAGUGUGUGGCACCUCUCGUCUCUCUCUUUCUCCUGCUCCCACCAUGAAAGACGUGCUUGCUUCCCUUCACCUUCUGCCAUGACUCUAAGUUUCCUGAGGCCUCCCCAGAAGCAGAAGCCUGUACAGCCCACAGAACUGUUGGAUCACAGACCAAUGGAACAGAAGGGAGACUAGAAAUAGACCCAUGCAAGUCAGUGGAGAAAGGAUGGAUUAUUUUCAUAAAUGCUGCUGGAAAUAAAUUUGAAUGGAAAAAAUGAAACUGGAUCACCACACCAUGCACAAAAAUUAAUUAUGGCUCAAUUAAAGACUUACGUGAUAAAUGCAAAGCUAUAAAACACAGAGUACAAUGCAGAAAGAUCAAUAUAUGACUUUGGAAUGGAAAGAUUUCUUAAAUAAGAUGCAAAAACUGUUAAUUAUAUAGAAAAAAAUGAUAAAUUUGACCACAUUAAAAUUAGGAAUUUCUGUGCCUGGGAUUUGUUUGUGUUUUCUUUGAAUCCCCUGUAGCACCAAGGACAGUGCCUGCACACACUAGAAAUGUCUCUACUAUGUUCCAAGGCUGGCUUCUCCAGCAUGCCAGAUUCCAUUUUCUAAGUUUC
Molecule: long non-coding RNA, 611 nt
Filed under: Homo sapiens (human)
Lineage: Eukaryota; Metazoa; Chordata; Mammalia; Primates; Hominidae
Description: HSALNT0052106
Source: RNAcentral